GGAUCCAGACUUUGAUUAUGGCUCAGGAUGAACGCUAGCUACAGGCCUAACACAUGCAAGUCGAGGGGAGACGGCAGCUUAGCUUGCUAAGCUGGACGUCGACCGGCGCACGGGUGAGUAACGCGUAUCCAACCUGCCCCACGGUGAGGGAUAACCCGCGGAAACGCGGCCUAAUACCUCAUGGUCUCCGAGCUUGACAUCAAUCUUGGAGUAAAGAUUCAUUGCCGUGGGAUGGGGAUGCGUCUGAUUAGCUUGUUGGCGGGGCAACGGCCCACCAAGGCAACGAUCAGUAGGGGUUCUGAGAGGAAAGCCCCCCACAUUGGAACUGAGACACGGUCCAAACUCCUACGGGAGGCAGCAGUGAGGAAUAUUGGUCAAUGGGCGUGAGCCUGAACCAGCCAAGUAGCGUGCAGGAAGACGGCCCUAUGGGUUGUAAACUGCUUUUAUGCGGGGAUAAAGCGGGCGACGUGUCGCCCUUUGCAGGUACCGCAUGAAUAAGGACCGGCUAAUUCCGUGCCAGCAGCCGCGGUAAUACGGAAGGUCCGGGCAUUAUCCGGAUUUAUUGGGUUUAAAGGGAGCGCAGGCCGGGUAUUAAGCGUGUUGUGAAAUGUAGGCGCCCAACGUCUGCACCGCAGCGCGAACUGGUGCCCUUGAGUACGCACGACGUUGGCGGAAUUCGCCGUGUAGCGGUGAAAUGCUUAGAUAUGGCGAAGAACUCCGAUUGCGAAGGCAGCUGACGGGAGCGCUACUGACGCUCAUGCUCGAAAGCGCGGGUAUCGAACAGGAUUAGAUACCCUGGUAGUCCGCGCGGUAAACGAUGGAUGCCCGCUAUUUGCGCAUUAGCGCAAGUGGCCAAGCGAAAACGUUGAGCAUCCCACCUGGGGAGUACGCCGGCAACGGUGCAACUCAAAUGAAUUGACGG
This 922-nucleotide ribosomal RNA is filed under the name uncultured Bacteroidota bacterium. RNAcentral describes it as "bacterial SSU rRNA". It matches the Rfam family "Bacterial small subunit ribosomal RNA", at positions 1 to 916 of the family's 1533-position model. Lineage: Bacteria; Pseudomonadati; Bacteroidota. The record is from RNAcentral.